UGGGGGAUAUUGCACAAUGGGGGAAACCCUGAUGCAGCGAUGCCGCGUGAGGGAAGAAGGUUUUCGGAUUGUAAACCUCUGUGGAGGGGGACGAUAAUGACGGUACCCCUUAAGGAAGCCACGGCUAACUACGUGCCAGCAGCCGCGGUAAUACGUAGGUGGCGAGCGUUGUCCGGAAUUACUGGGUGUAAAGGGAGCGUAGGCGGGAGUGCAAGUCAGAAGUGAAAACUAUGGGCUCAACCCAUAGCCUGCUUUUGAAACUGUACUUCUUGAGUGAGUCAGAGGCAAGCGGAAUUCCCAGUGUAGCGGUGAAAUGCGUAGAUAUUGGGAGGAACACCAGUGGCGAAGGCGGCUUGCUGGGGCUUUACUGACGCUGAGGCUCGAAAGCGUGGGGAGCAAACAGGAUUAGAUACC
RNAcentral lists this ribosomal RNA (414 nucleotides) under uncultured bacterium. Its description in RNAcentral is "bacterial SSU rRNA". It matches the Rfam family "Bacterial small subunit ribosomal RNA", at positions 355 to 786 of the family's 1533-position model. The record is from RNAcentral.